CGUUGCCUACCGCGGUCUUUGAAAUGAAAGCUGUCAGGCGAGAGCGGCCCCCACACACAGACAGUUUUUCCUCGGAGAAACGCACUAGAGACCUAGUUGAGACUCACGGGAUUUUGGAAAGAAAUUAGACGAUAUUAUUUUCAUUUUAGGAAAGAAACCAAACUAUUUUUGUGUUUUUUUCCGAGACACCCGAGGACAGCCACAGAGUUCCCUGGCGCGGAGAAAGUAACAUCUUCAACUGGCGACGACAGAGGGACACCACCGGAGGAGUCAUUCCAAGCAACUCUGGUAUUGUCUAGUGUCAACUUCAGAAGUCCACUCAGAGGAACACCAGACCCAUUUAAAGUUAUUAAAGACUGUCACGUCUACUGCUCCCCCUCUCCGGCGCACAGAGGGAGGGGGGCAGAACAUGAGACAGAGCUGCAUUUCAUGACAAAAUGUGAAAAAUAUAAAACAAUUAGAGAGUGUAAUUUCCCCAAAUUUGAAACCCUUAUUCAAGGUUUCAAAGACCUCUCUGGUGAGAGGCUACCCUUCCUGUUGGGGGAAAGACGCAGAGAGCUGGGGGUUGGCAGCGCACUACAUUGCUGCCUGCCAUAAGAUGAGGGACAGUGUCUGACAGACCAAUCAACCUGCACAUGUCCUCUACUGUAUGCUUAUUGUUUAAUGUAUGGUUAUUUUGACCCUUGGUUAUUGUUGUUACUGUUGUCCCGUUGACAAUUUUGAUUUAUUAUUUUCAUGUUGUAAAUAUCCAAAAUAAGCUUUGGC
This 765-nucleotide long non-coding RNA is filed under the name Salmo salar (Atlantic salmon). Its description in RNAcentral is "lncRNA (ENSSSAG00000088801.1)". Lineage: Eukaryota; Metazoa; Chordata; Actinopteri; Salmoniformes; Salmonidae. The record is from RNAcentral.